CGUGUAGGCGGGAAUACAAGUCAGAUGUGAAGUACUGUGGCUCAACCACAGAACGGCAUCUGAAACUGUAUUUCUUGAGUACUGGAGAGGAAAGCGGAAUUCCUAGUGUAGCGGUGAAAUGCGUAGAUAUUAGGAGGAACACCGGUGGCGAAGGCGGCUUUCUGGACAGUAACUGACGCUGAGACGCGAAAGCGUGGGGAGCAAACAGGAUUAGAUACCCUGGUAGUCC
This 229-nucleotide ribosomal RNA is filed under the name uncultured bacterium. Its description in RNAcentral is "partial 16S ribosomal RNA". It matches the Rfam family "Bacterial small subunit ribosomal RNA", at positions 568 to 796 of the family's 1533-position model. The record is from RNAcentral.